UACGUAGGGGGCAAGCGUUGUCCGGAUUUAUUGGGCGUAAAGAGCGUGUAGGCGGCCAAGCAGGUCCGCUGUGAAAACUCGAGGCUCAACCUCGAGACGUCGGUGGAAACCGUUUGGCUAGAGUCCGUAAGAGGAGAGUGGAAUUCCCGGUGUAGCGGUGAAAUGCGCAGAUAUCGGGAAGAACACCGGUGGCGAAGGCGGCUCACUGGUCCGGUACUGACGCUGAGGUGCGAAAGCGUGGGGAGCAAACAGG
RNAcentral lists this ribosomal RNA (253 nucleotides) under uncultured bacterium. RNAcentral's name for it is "partial 16S ribosomal RNA". It matches the Rfam family "Bacterial small subunit ribosomal RNA", at positions 524 to 776 of the family's 1533-position model. The record is from RNAcentral.